GACGAACGCUGGCGGCGUGCUUAACACAUGCGAGUCGAACGGAAAGGCCCUGCUUUUGUGGGGUGCUCGAGAGGCGAACGGGUGAGUAACACGUGAGUAACCUGCCCUUGACUUUGGGAUAACUUCAGGAAACUGGGGCUAAUACCGGAUAGGAGCUCCUGCUGCAUGGUGGGGGUUGGAAAGUUUCGGCGGUUGGGGAUGGACUCGCGGCUUAUCAGCUUGUUGGUGGGGUAGUGGCUUACCAAGGCUUUGACGGGUAGCCGGCCUGAGAGGGUGACCGGCCACAUUGGGACUGAGAUACGGCCCAGACUCCUACGGGAGGCAGCAGUGGGGAAUAUUGCACAAUGGGCGGAAGCCUGAUGCAGCAACGCCGCGUGCGGGAUGACGGCCUUCGGGUUGUAAACCGCUUUCGCCUGUGACGAAGCGUGAGUGACGGUAAUGGGUAAAGAAGCACCGGCUAACUACGUG
This 468-nucleotide ribosomal RNA is filed under the name uncultured bacterium. Its description in RNAcentral is "partial 16S ribosomal RNA". It matches the Rfam family "Bacterial small subunit ribosomal RNA", at positions 28 to 507 of the family's 1533-position model. The record is from RNAcentral.